AUUGAACGCUGGCGGCAGGCCUAACACAUGCAAGUCGAGCGGAAGAAGGGAGCUUGCUCCUGGAUUCAGCGGCGGACGGGUGAGUAAUGCCUAGGAAUCUGCCUGGUAGUGGGGGAUAACGUCCGGAAACGGGCGCUAAUACCGCAUACGUCCUGAGGGAGAAAGUGGGGGAUCUUCGGACCUCACGCUAUCAGAUGAGCCUAGGUCGGAUUAGCUAGUUGGUGGGGUAAAGGCCUACCAAGGCGACGAUCCGUAACUGGUCUGAGAGGAUGAUCAGCCACACUGGAACUGAGACACGGUCCAGACUCCUACGGGAGGCAGCAGUGGGGAAUAUUGGACAAUGGGCGAAAGCCUGAUCCAGCCAUGCCGCGUGUGUGAAGAAGGUCUUCGGAUUGUAAAGCACUUUAAGUUGGGAGGAAGGGCAGUAAGUUAAUACCUUGCUGUUUUGACGUUACCAACAGAAUAAGCACCGGCUAACUUCGUG
This 484-nucleotide ribosomal RNA is filed under the name uncultured bacterium. RNAcentral's name for it is "partial 16S ribosomal RNA". It matches the Rfam family "Bacterial small subunit ribosomal RNA", at positions 30 to 507 of the family's 1533-position model. The record is from RNAcentral.